GAGGACCCCUAAACUCUGUUUCUAUAUGUAACUUCUGAGUAAAACCAUAAAUAAAUCAAAACUUUCAACAACGGAUCUCUUGGUUCUGGCAUCGAUGAAGAACGCAGCAAAAUGCGAUAAGUAAUGUGAAUUGCAGAAUUCAGUGAAUCAUCGAAUCUUUGAACGCACAUUGCGCCCGCCAGUAUUCUGGCGGGCAUGCCUGUUCGAGCGUCAUUUCAACCCUCAAGCACAGCUUGGUGUUGGGACUCGCGUUAAUUCGCGUUCCUCAAAUUGAUUGGCGGUCACGUCGAGCUUCCAUAGCGUAGUAGUAAAACCCUCGUUACUGGUAAUCGUCGCGGCCACGCCGUUAAACCCCAACUUCUGAAUGUUGACCUCGGAUCAGGUAGGAAUACCCGCUGAACUUAAGCAUAUCAAUAAGCGGAGGA
RNAcentral lists this ribosomal RNA (425 nucleotides) under uncultured fungus. Its description in RNAcentral is "eukaryotic LSU rRNA". The stretch from base 60 to 213 matches the Rfam family "5.8S ribosomal RNA". The record is from RNAcentral. Lineage: Eukaryota; Fungi.